GUUCUCCUUUGGCUUGUAGUCCAUGGUGACGUUGUCUUCAGUGUCUCUGGACUACACAGUAGCGUUUGGGUGUCGCCAUCCACCCAGUUACCUCCCUCUCCCACCACUGACCUUUUCAGUCAUUGAUUCCAACAAGAGGCAAGCGAUGAUGGAGCAAGUUUCGCAUGCCUGUCAAAAACUUGGGUUUUUUCAUAUUGUGAAUCUCGAGGCACCACUAGAGGUUAUGAACUGGACAAUUGGUAAGGUCAAGGCAUUUCAUGAGCUAGCAACGGAGGUCAACAGACAGUGGUACCGGAGGG
This 299-nucleotide unclassified non-coding RNA is filed under the name Hevea brasiliensis (rubber tree). Lineage: Eukaryota; Viridiplantae; Streptophyta; Magnoliopsida; Malpighiales; Euphorbiaceae. The record is from RNAcentral.